Conger conger (European conger) is the source of this 468-nucleotide long non-coding RNA. RefSeq lists it as uncharacterized. The transcript has 4 exons. NCBI's taxonomy places the organism in Eukaryota, Metazoa, Chordata, Actinopteri, Anguilliformes, Congridae. The record is from RefSeq and is a predicted model, not a curated record.
GCUUAGCUUCAGUCUCAACGUUUCACAUGGGACCCAGUCUUGGCAUCCACUAAACCCGGUUUUUAAAAUGGGAGGACUGCAUAUCAAAGAGUUGUAAAAACAUUUGUUUGCCGUCAACAUACACUACAGUCCCCUCUUUAAACUUUUGGUGUGAGUGCUCGUGUUUCCAGUGCCACCAGUUCACUAACGUUAAAGCAGACGAAUAAAGAGACUCAUUAGGAUGAUGAUUUCGCUCCAAACACGACACUGAACCAAGGGACAGGUUUGCCAGAAGAGCGCACCGCGCAGACAUUACAAUGAAAUAUAAUUUCAUGGAUUCAUCUCCUUGUUCUUUAAUUAAUAUGAGAAUGCUGAGCGAGGGUUUGCAGGGGUGAGCCAGACCAGUCUCCAGGACUAGGGCAGGAUCUAGGCAUAGGCCCAGGCGCCAAGGGCAGCAUCCAUCUGGGAGGUGCCAAACCGAUACAGAAU